This 497-nucleotide ribosomal RNA is filed under the name uncultured bacterium. RNAcentral's name for it is "partial 16S ribosomal RNA". It matches the Rfam family "Bacterial small subunit ribosomal RNA", at positions 28 to 507 of the family's 1533-position model. The record is from RNAcentral.
GAUGAACGCUGGCGGCGUGCCUAAUACAUGCAAGUCGAGCGAACAGACGAGGAGCUUGCUCCUCUGACGUUAGCGGCGGACGGGUGAGUAACACGUGGAUAACCUACCUAUAAGACUGGGAUAACUUCGGGAAACCGGAGCUAAUACCGGAUAAUAUAUUGAACCGCAUGGUUCAAUAGUGAAAGACGGUUUUGCUGUCACUUAUCGAUGGAUCCGCGCCGCAUUAGCUAGUUGGUAAGGUAACGGCUUACCAAGGCAACGAUGCGUAGCCGACCUGAGAGGGUGAUCGGCCACACUGGAACUGAGACACGGUCCAGGCUCCUACGGGAGGCAGCAGUAGGGAAUCGUCCGCAAUGGGCGAAAGCCUGACGGAGCAACGCCGCGUGAGUGAUGAAGGUCUUCGGAUCGUAAAACUCUGUUAUUAGGGAAGAACAAAUGUGGAAGUAACUAUGCACGUCUUGACGGUACCUAAUCAGAAAGCCACGGCUAACUACGUG